GUGGUGAUUGCAGGGUCAGUAAACAAUGAUUUCGAGCCUUUAGAAAAAUUAAUGGACCGACCGUCGGAUGGGAUGAGACCCAAAGGCCGAGAGAGUGGACGUGGGUGGCCCAUUAGCCGUGGGCGAUCAGGGCGUUACAAAAAUAUUAUUGAAGAAUUGAAUUGAAUCGUUAGUAUUACAUAUACCAUCGGUCUAGGUUCUUCAGGUAGA
RNAcentral lists this long non-coding RNA (210 nucleotides) under Brassica napus (rape). RNAcentral's name for it is "long non-coding RNA (BNAP_LNC024788)". The record is from RNAcentral. Lineage: Eukaryota; Viridiplantae; Streptophyta; Magnoliopsida; Brassicales; Brassicaceae.